This 411-nucleotide ribosomal RNA is filed under the name uncultured bacterium. RNAcentral describes it as "bacterial SSU rRNA". It matches the Rfam family "Bacterial small subunit ribosomal RNA", at positions 917 to 1344 of the family's 1533-position model. The record is from RNAcentral.
GGGCCCGCACAAGCGGUGGAGUAUGUGGUUUAAUUCGAUGCAACGCGAAGAACCUUACCAAGGUUUGACAUGUCACUCUUUAUGAGGUAUUAAUGAAAAUUAAUUUUGGUUCACAGGUGGUGCAUGGCUGUCGUCAGCUCGUGUCGCGAGAUGUUGGGUUAAGUCCCGCAACGAGCGUAACCUUUAUUUCUUGUUGUGAUUUCAGAUCAAGAAAAACUGCCAGUGAUGAGCUGGAGGAUGGUGAAGAUGACGUCAAGUCAGCAUGCCCCUUAUACCUUGGGCAACACACGUGCUACAAUAGCUAAGAUAAAACGUAACUACUUUGUAAAAAGAUGUUAAUCGUUAAACUUAGUUGUAGUUCGGAUCCGUCUCUGCAACUCGAGAUGGUUAAGUCGGAAUUGCUAGUAAUCG